AAUGGCUAGCGGCUGGGAUGGGUGAAUCUAUGGACAUGGGGAGGGAUGGCGUCGCUCGGCCCCGCUAUGCUCAGGUGGAAGAGGAAUGCUGCAAGUCCAUCAAACAGUAGAGGCCUUGAAGAAUAGAAGUAAAGGCCUUGAAGAAAAGAGGCCUUGAAGAAUAUAUUAAGGACAGUGAAGAAGAUGCACUUCAAAUGGUCAGUAACGAGAAACUAUUCAACACCAAUGAAACAAAGCAGGCCUACAAGAAAGAACAAGUCAAGAACCGAGCAGAAAAAUGGAAAAAUAAGCCACUGCACGGUCAAUAUUUGCACAAUAUAAGCGGAAAAUCAGACAUCACCAAGACCUGGCAAUGGCUUAAGAAUGGCAACUUGAAGAAAGAAACAGAGGGUUUAAUACUGGCUGCACAAGAAGAGGCACUAAGAACAAAUGCAAUAAGAGCAAAAGUAGAAAAGUCAACAACAAACAGCAAGUGCAGCCUUUGUAAAGAAGCAGAUGAAACCGUGGACCACCUCAUCAGCUGUUGUAAAAAGAUUGCACAGACUGACUACAAACAAAGGCAUGGCAAGGUAGCAGGGAUGAGACACUGGAACAUCUGCAAAAAAUACAAGCUAGCUGUAGCCAAAAACUGAUGGGACCAUAAAAAUGAAAAAGUUGUCGAAAACGAAGAUGUGAAAAUAUUAUUAUGGGACUUCUGACUACAAACAGACAAACAUCUGCCACACAAUACACCAGAUAUAACUGUAGUCGAGAAGAAAGAAAAACAAGUGAAAAUAAUCGACAUAUCAAUACCAGGGGAUAGCAGAAUAGAAGAAAAAGAAAUGGAAAAAACAACAAAAUUCAAAGAUCUACAAAUUGAAAUUGAAAGGCUGUGGCAGAAAAAGACCAAAAUCAUCCCAGUGAUAAUUGGCGCCCUGGGUGCAGUUCCAGAAAACCUUAAAGAGCACCUCAACACCAUAGGGGCCACAGAAAUCACUAUCAGCCAAUUACAAAAAGCAAUUUUACUGGGAACAGCCUAUAUUUUGCGACGUUAUCUAUAACAACCAACAAUAUUGAUGAUAAAAUUCAGCCAUCCCAGGUCCUUGGGAAGGACUCGAUGUCUGAAUAAAACAAACUAGUCAAUAACAUCUGUCUGACUGUGUAAACAAGAAAUAAUAAUAAUAAUAAUCCACUGCUGCCCCAAACCUUUGGAACGUGCUCCCUGCUGAAUUACGAGCCUCCCUAUCUCUGUCAACUUUUUAAAAGUCUUUAAAGACGCACCUAUUCACCCAGGCUUUUAAUUAAAUAUUGUUUUCACAA
Long non-coding RNA from Hemicordylus capensis (graceful crag lizard), 1299 nucleotides. RefSeq lists it as uncharacterized. The record is from RefSeq and is a predicted model, not a curated record. The transcript has 2 exons. NCBI's taxonomy places the organism in Eukaryota, Metazoa, Chordata, Lepidosauria, Squamata, Cordylidae.